This 497-nucleotide ribosomal RNA is filed under the name uncultured bacterium. RNAcentral's name for it is "partial 16S ribosomal RNA". It matches the Rfam family "Bacterial small subunit ribosomal RNA", at positions 28 to 507 of the family's 1533-position model. The record is from RNAcentral.
GAUGAACGCUGGCGGCGUGCCUAAUACAUGCAAGUCGAGCGAACAGACGAGGAGCUUGCUCCUCUGACGUUAGCGGCGGACGUGUGAGUAACACGUGGAUAACCUACCUAUAAGACUGGGAUAACUUCGGGAAACCGGAGCUAAUACCGGAUAAUAUAUUGAACCUCAUGGUUCAAUAGUGAAAGACGGUUUUGCUGUCACUUAUAGAUGGAUCCGCGCCGCAUUAGCUAGUUGGUAAGGUAACGGCUUACCAAGGCAACGAUGCGUAUCCGACCUGAUAGGGUGGUCGGCCAUACUGUAAAUGAGACCAGGAACAGUCUCCUACGGGAGGCACCAGUAGGGAAUCUUCCGGAAUGGGCGAAAGCCUGAAGGAGCAACGCCGCGUGAGUGAUGAAGGUCUUCGAUGCGUAAAACUCUGUUAUUGGGGAAGAACAAAUGUGUAAGUACCUAUGCACGUCUUGAGGGUACCUAAUCAGAAAGCCACGGCUAACUACGUG